CAGCUCGUUUUCAAUAUUGCGACU
This 24-nucleotide microRNA is filed under the name Ananas comosus (pineapple). RNAcentral's name for it is "microRNA s1269_c028b". Lineage: Eukaryota; Viridiplantae; Streptophyta; Magnoliopsida; Poales; Bromeliaceae. The record is from RNAcentral.